GACGAACGCUGGCGGCGUGCUUAACACAUGCAAGUCGAACGGAAAGGCCUCUUUCGGGGGGUACUCGAGUGGCGAACGGGUGAGUAACACGUGAGUAACCUGCCCUUGACUUUGGGAUAACUUCAGGAAACUGGGGCUAAUACCGGAUAGGAGCUCCUGCUGCAUGGUGGGGGUUGGAAAGUUUCGGCGGUUGGGGAUGGACUCGCGGCUUAUCAGCUUGUUGGUGGGGUAGUGGCUUACCAAGGCUUUGACGGGUAGCCGGCCUGAGAGGGUGACCGGCCCAAUGGGGCCUGGGAUACGGCCCAGACUCCUACGGGGGGCAGCGGUGGGGAAUUUUGCCCAAUGGGUGGAAGCCUGAUGCAGCAACGCCGGGUGGGGGAUGCCGGCCUUCGGGUUGUAAACCGCUUUCGCCCAUGACGAAGCUUUGGGUGACGGUAGGGGGUAAAGAAGCCCCGGCUAACUCCGU
Molecule: ribosomal RNA, 466 nt
Filed under: uncultured bacterium
Lineage: Bacteria
Description: partial 16S ribosomal RNA
Rfam family: Bacterial small subunit ribosomal RNA
Source: RNAcentral